AUGGACAGUCUGGUGAACACUCAUCACGUUGAUGUGAAUGCAACAGAUAAUUCAGGGUUAAUUCCAUUGCAUUUGGCAGUUUUCUAUGAUAAUACUGAUGCUCUACUUGAACUGAUGAGGCUGGGAGCAACCAUUGAGGGGAAUACUUGUUUUGGGAAGGCUAUCCACGGCGCUGCCUUUUUAGGAAGUCUUGGGGCUAUUAAAGCUAUUCACCAGGAUUUCCCCAAUGAGGUAAACAUUGCUAGUGCUGGAAAUUUCACGCCACUUAUUUGUUCCCUGUUCGGCACUUCAGUUGACUGUCAGAACUUUCUUGCAGGGGUAUCUGAUGUGGGUACUCUUCCCUUGUUCACCAAAGUGGCAUUGGUUAAAACCAAUGAGGCUGAAGCUCAUGCUCUUAUGAAAACGCUUUUAAACCAUGGAGCAGAUGUGAACAUAUUGGACCAGGAUUUUCUUGAAGAACCAGCAUUGGUCAUCGCCGCCAAAAACAAAUGGAAUCUGGUCAUCGACCUUUUAUUUGAUAGAACAGAACAGAUAGCUGGCAUAGAGGACUGGACCGUUGCAAAUUUACUCAGCCAUGUCCAGACAGAAGAUUUCUUGCAUGAGGACCGUUUGAGGAAAGCAAAUAAAGUCCAGCAGCUGCGCCCCAGAAUAAUUGUUGAACUGGAAGCUAGAAAUGUUGUUGUCGCGACCUAUCUUUGCAAGGCUUUAAAAUCUGAUAUGGAUGAAUGGGACUGGAGCAACAUCAGCAGUCUAUGCGACCUCUGUGUACAUUUUGGAAUAUCGUCAUCUGAAUAUGAAAUAACAGUGGAAUGUAUUUCUAUGUACAUGAGUGCUUAUUUCUCAAAAGAGCAAUAUGAUAAGGCUCUUUUAGCUAUAAAGGCUUGUCUUGCUCUGGAACCGGACAACCAGGAAUUCAUCAGACUCCACACAAUGGUGAAAAGGUUAUCUGAAGAGAAUACAGCGAGUACAAGUGGGCCUUCGCAGUAA
Molecule: ribosomal RNA, 987 nt
Filed under: Triticum aestivum (bread wheat)
Lineage: Eukaryota; Viridiplantae; Streptophyta; Magnoliopsida; Poales; Poaceae
Description: partial small subunit ribosomal RNA
Source: RNAcentral